CUGCUGCCUCCCGUAGGAGUUUGGGCCGUGUCUCAGUCCCAAUGUGGCCGUUCACCCUCUCAGGCCGGCUACUGAUCGUUGCCUUGGUAGGCCAUUACCCCACCAACUGGCUAAUCAGACGCGGAACCAUCGUAUACCACCAGAGUUUUUCACACCGCUUCAUGCGAAGCUGUGCGCUUAUGCGGUAUUAGCACCUAUUUCUAAGUGUUAUCCCCCAGUAUACGGCAGGUUUUCCACGCGUUACUCACCCGUCCGCCA
RNAcentral lists this ribosomal RNA (258 nucleotides) under uncultured bacterium. Its description in RNAcentral is "partial 16S ribosomal RNA". The record is from RNAcentral.